UACAGAGGGGGCCAGCGUUAUUCGGAAUUAUUGGGCGUAAAGGGCGCGUAGGCGGCUCGGUAAGCCGGAUGUGAAACCUCCAAGCUCAACUUGGAGCGGCCAUUCGGAACUGCUGUGGCUAGAGUCUGGUAGGGGAACACGGAAUACCUGGUGUAGCGGUGAAAUGCUUAGAUAUCAGGUGGAACACCAGUGGCGAAGGCGGUGUUCUGGGCCAGUACUGACGCUGAGGCGCGAAAGCGUGGGGAGCGAACAGG
RNAcentral lists this ribosomal RNA (254 nucleotides) under uncultured bacterium. Its description in RNAcentral is "partial 16S ribosomal RNA". It matches the Rfam family "Bacterial small subunit ribosomal RNA", at positions 524 to 776 of the family's 1533-position model. The record is from RNAcentral.